GACGAACGCUGGCGGCGUGCUUAACACAUGCAAGUCGAACGGAAAGGCCCUGCUUGCAGGGUGCUCGAGUGGCGAACGGGUGAGUAACACGUGGGUGAUCUGCCCCUUACUUUGGGAUAAGCCUGGGAAACUGGGUCUAAUACUGGAUAGGACCAUGCUGUAGGUGGUGUGGUGGAAAGAUUAGUUUCGGUAAGGGAUGAGCUCGCGGCCUAUCAGCUUGUUGGUGGGGUAAUGGCCUACCAAGGCGUCGACGGGUAGCCGGCCUGAGAGGGUGGACGGCCACAUUGGGACUGAGAUACGGCCCAGACUCCUACGGGAGGCAGCAAUGGGGAAUAUUGCACAACGGGCGCAAGCCUGAUGCAGCGACGCCGCGUGGGGGAUGACGGCCUUCGGGUUGUAAACUCCUUUCAGCCAUGACGAAGCCCUUGUGGUGACGGUAGUGGUAGAAGAAGCACCGGCUAACUACGU
RNAcentral lists this ribosomal RNA (468 nucleotides) under uncultured bacterium. RNAcentral describes it as "partial 16S ribosomal RNA". It matches the Rfam family "Bacterial small subunit ribosomal RNA", at positions 28 to 506 of the family's 1533-position model. The record is from RNAcentral.